GAUGAACGCUAGCUACAGGCUUAACACAUGCAAGUCGAGGGGAAACGACAUCGAAAGCUUGCUUUUGAUGGGCGUCGACCGGCGCACGGGUGAGUAACGCGUAUCCAACCUGCCCACCACUUGGGGAUGACCUUGCGAAAGUAAGACUAAUACCCAAUGACGUCUCUAGAAGACAUCUGAAAGAGAUUAAAGAUUUAUCGGUGAUGGAUGGGGAUGCGUCUGAUUAGCUUGUUGGCGGGGUAACGGCCCACCAAGGCGACGAUCAGUAGGGGUUCUGAGAGGAAGGUCCCCCACAUUGGAACUGAGACACGGUCCAAACUCCUACGGGAGGCAGCAGUGAGGGAUAUUGGUCAAUGGGCGAGAGCCUGAACCAGCCAAGUAGCGUGCAGGAUGACGGCCCUAUGGGUUGUAAACUGCUUUUAUAAGGGAAUAAAGUGAGUCUCGUGAGACUUUUUGCAUGUACCUUAUGAAUAAGGACCGGCUAAUUCCGUGCCAGCCGCCGCCGUAA
This 508-nucleotide ribosomal RNA is filed under the name uncultured bacterium. RNAcentral's name for it is "partial 16S ribosomal RNA". It matches the Rfam family "Bacterial small subunit ribosomal RNA", at positions 28 to 523 of the family's 1533-position model. The record is from RNAcentral.